RNAcentral lists this ribosomal RNA (497 nucleotides) under uncultured bacterium. RNAcentral's name for it is "partial 16S ribosomal RNA". It matches the Rfam family "Bacterial small subunit ribosomal RNA", at positions 28 to 507 of the family's 1533-position model. The record is from RNAcentral.
GAUGAACGCUGGCGGCGUGCCUAAUACAUGCAAGUCGAGCGAACAGACGAGGAGCUUGCUCCUCUGACGUUAGCGGCGGACGGGUGAGUAACACGUGGAUAACCUACCUAUAAGACUGGGAUAACUUCGGGAAACCGGAGCUAAUACCGGAUAAUAUAUUGAACCGCAUGGCUCAAUAGUGAAAGACGGUUUUGCUGUCACUUAUAGAUGGACCCGCGCCGCAUUAGCUAGUUGGUAAGGUAACGGCUUACCAAGGCGACGAUGCGUAGCCGACCUGAGAGGGUGAUCGGCCACACUGGAACUGAGACACGGUCCAGACUCCUACGGGAGGCAGCAGUAGGGAAUCUUCCGCAAUGGGCGAAAGCCUGACGGAGCAACGCCGCGUGAGUGAUGAAGGUCUUCGGAUCGUAAAACUCUGUUAUUAGGGAAGAACAAAUGUGUAAGUAACUAUGCACGUCUUGACGGUACCUAAUCAGAAAGCCACGGCUAACUACGUG